GACGAACGCUGGCGGCGUGCUUAACACAUGCAAGUCGAACGGAAAGGCCCUGCUUUUGUGGGGUGCUCGAGUGGCGAACGGGUGAGUAACACGUGAGUAACCUGCCCUUGACUUUGGGAUAACUUCAGGAAACUGGGGCUAAUACCGUAUAGGAGCUCCUGCUGCAUGGUGGGGGUUGGAAAGUUUCGGCGGUUGGGGAUGGACUCGCGGCUUAUCAGCUUGUUGGUGGGGUAGUGGCUUACCAAGGCUUUGACGGGUAGCCGGCCUGAGAGGGUGACCGGCCACAUUGGGACUGAGAUACGGCCCAGACUCCUACGGGAGGCAGCAGUGGGGAAUAUUGCACAAUGGGCGGAAGCCUGAUGCAGCAACGCCGCGUGCGGGAUGACGGCCUUCGGGUUGUAAACCGCUUUCGCCUGUGACGAAGCGUGAGUGACGGUAAUGGGUAAAGAAGCACCAGCUAACUACGUG
This 468-nucleotide ribosomal RNA is filed under the name uncultured bacterium. RNAcentral describes it as "partial 16S ribosomal RNA". It matches the Rfam family "Bacterial small subunit ribosomal RNA", at positions 28 to 507 of the family's 1533-position model. The record is from RNAcentral.